This 400-nucleotide ribosomal RNA is filed under the name uncultured organism. RNAcentral's name for it is "bacterial SSU rRNA". It matches the Rfam family "Bacterial small subunit ribosomal RNA", at positions 45 to 433 of the family's 1533-position model. The record is from RNAcentral.
UGCCUAACACAUUGCAAGUCGAGUGCUGAAGUCCCCGCACGGGGAUUGUAGGCACGGCAGACGGGUGCGUAACACGUGGGUAACCUUUCGUUGAGACGGGAAUAACCCGGGGAAACUCGGGAUAAUGCCCGAUACGUACUGAGGCGCAAGCCGAGGAUAUGAAUCGCCGCCCGCAAGGGUGGCGCUCGAUGAGGGGCCCGCGGCCCAUCAGGUAGUUGGUGAGGUAACGGCCCACCAAGCCUACGACGGGUAGCUGGCGUGAGAGCGCGACCAGCCACACUGGAACUGAGACACGGUCCAGACUCCUACGGGAGGCAGCAGUGGGGAAUCUUGGGCAAUGGACGAAAGUCUGACCCAGCGACGCCGUGUGAGGGACGAAGGCCUUCGGGUCGUAAACCUC